Globomyces pollinis-pini is the source of this 72-nucleotide non-coding RNA. The record is from the annotation of a GenBank genome assembly. NCBI's taxonomy places the organism in Eukaryota, Fungi, Chytridiomycota, Chytridiomycetes, Rhizophydiales, Globomycetaceae.
GGAUUGAUAGCUCAGUGGCAGAGCAUGGGACUGCAAAUCCUGGGGUCGCGAGUUCAACUCUCGCUCGGUCCU